Molecule: ribosomal RNA, 487 nt
Filed under: uncultured bacterium
Lineage: Bacteria
Description: partial 16S ribosomal RNA
Rfam family: Bacterial small subunit ribosomal RNA
Source: RNAcentral
GAUGAACGCUAGCGAUAGGCUUAACACAUGCAAGUCGAGGGGCAGCACAAGGUAGCUUGCUAUCUGGGUGGCGACCGGCGCACGGGUGCGUAACGCGUAUGCAACUUGCCCUAUACAGGAGGAUAACCCGUCGAAAGACGGACUAAUACUGCGUAUGCUCACAACUUGGCAUCAAGUGGUGAGGAAAGAAAUUCGGUAUAGGAUAGGCAUGCGUCCCAUUAGCUUGUUGGUGAGGUAACGGCUCACCAAGGCAACGAUGGGUAGGGGAACUGAGAGGUUUAUCCCCCACACUGGUACUGAGACACGGACCAGACUCCUACGGGAGGCAGCAGUGAGGAAUAUUGGUCAAUGGGCGCGAGCCUGAACCAGCCAAGUCGCGUGAAGGAUGACUGUCUUAUGGAUGGUAACCUUCUUUUAUACGGGAAUAACAAGAGUCACGGGUGACUCCCUGCAUGUACCGUAUGAAUAAGCAUCGGCUAACUCCGUG